GUCUUUCUAGUAUUAAACAGUAUUAGUGACUUCCAAUCACCCGGUCUUGGUUAAAGUCCAAGGAAAGAUA
RNAcentral lists this transfer RNA (70 nucleotides) under Sander lucioperca (pikeperch). RNAcentral describes it as "tRNA (ENSSLUG00000000025.1)". The record is from RNAcentral. Lineage: Eukaryota; Metazoa; Chordata; Actinopteri; Perciformes; Percidae.